RNAcentral lists this unclassified non-coding RNA (300 nucleotides) under uncultured Paramyrothecium. RNAcentral describes it as "sequence contains 5.8S rRNA gene, ITS2". The stretch from base 1 to 71 matches the Rfam family "5.8S ribosomal RNA", at positions 84 to 154 of the family's 154-position model. Lineage: Eukaryota; Fungi; Ascomycota; Sordariomycetes; Hypocreales; Stachybotryaceae. The record is from RNAcentral.
GUGAAUCAUCGAAUCUUUGAACGCACAUUGCGCCCGCCAGUAUUCUGGCGGGCAUGCCUGUUCGAGCGUCAUUUCAACCCUCAGGCCCCCAGUGCCUGGCGUUGGGGAUCGGCGUGGGCGGCGACGGCUCUCCGGAGCCCGAGCCAAUGCCUGCCGGCCCCGAAAUUCAGUGGCGGUCUCGCUGUAGUCCCCCUCUGCGUAGUAGCACAACUCGCAUUGGAGCUCGGCGGUGGCCAUGCCGUAAAACACCCCACUUCUGAAAGUUGACCUCGGAUCAGGUAGGAAUACCCGCUGAACUUA